UACGUAGGGUGCAAGCGUUGCCCGGAUUUAUUGGGCGUAAAGGGCGCGUAGGCGGCUCGGCACGUCCGUUGUGAAAUCGCCCGGCUCAACUGGGCGGGGUCAGCGGAUACGGCGCGGCUGGAGCAAGCUAGGGGGCAAUGGAAUUCCCGGUGUAGUGGUGGAAUGCGUAGAUAUCGGGAGGAACACCAGUGGCGAAGGCGGUUGCCUGGAGCUUUGCUGACGCUGAUGCGCGAAAGCGUGGGGAGCAAACGGG
RNAcentral lists this ribosomal RNA (253 nucleotides) under uncultured bacterium. RNAcentral describes it as "partial 16S ribosomal RNA". It matches the Rfam family "Bacterial small subunit ribosomal RNA", at positions 524 to 776 of the family's 1533-position model. The record is from RNAcentral.